This 491-nucleotide ribosomal RNA is filed under the name uncultured bacterium. Its description in RNAcentral is "partial 16S ribosomal RNA". It matches the Rfam family "Bacterial small subunit ribosomal RNA", at positions 29 to 507 of the family's 1533-position model. The record is from RNAcentral.
AGUGAACGCUGGCGGUAGGCCUAACACAUGCAAGUCGAACGGCAGCACAGUAAGAGCUUGCUCUUACGGGUGGCGAGUGGCGGACGGGUGAGGAAUACAUCGGAAUCUACUUUUUCGUGGGGGAUAACGUAGGGAAACUUACGCUAAUACCGCAUACGACCUACGGGUGAAAGCAGGGGAUCUUCGGACCUUGCGCGAUUGAAUGAGCCGAUGUCGGAUUAGCUAGUUGGCGGGGUAAAGGCCCACCAAGGCGACGAUCCGUAGCUGGUCUGAGAGGAUGAUCAGCCACACUGGAACUGGGACACGGUCCAGACUCCUACGGGAGGCAGCGGUGGGAAUAUUGGACAAUGGGCGCAAGCCUGAUCCAGCCAUACCGCGUGGGUGAAGAAGGCCUUCGGGUUGUAAAGCCCUUUUGUUGGGAAAGAAAAGCAGCAGGUUAAUACCCCGCUGUUCUGACGGUACCCAAGGAAUAAGCACCGGCUAACUUCGUG